UUAUAUUUGCCACGCUUUGGUUUAAUAACUAUUACUCAAUGGUUAUUAAUUAAAAGGGAAUCAGGUGUAAAUCCUGAACAGUACCCGCUGCUGUAAAUCCCAUUCAAAAGCUUAAGAAUAAAACUCAUGCCACUGUUCCGUUCCGGAAUGGGAAGGUGUUUCUUAAGCCGGGAUAAGUCAGAAGACCUGCCAAGUAUACAGCCUGCAA
Molecule: non-coding RNA, 208 nt
Filed under: Solitalea canadensis
Lineage: Bacteria; Pseudomonadati; Bacteroidota; Sphingobacteriia; Sphingobacteriales; Sphingobacteriaceae
Also listed under: 1 other name
Source: RNAcentral